UAGUUUGCAUAUCAGUUUUUGUGAAUUGUUAGGCCAUGUCAGAUCAUCACAACAUUACUAACUUUAUAUUUCAAUAUAUUAAUUCUUUUUUAUUUAUACUUAUAUUUCAAUAAUUAACAAGCACUGUAAAACAACAGUAAGCAAGAAUGCUGCACUGGUGGAAUAGUGUAAACUAUCAUUACUCUUUGGAUAAAAAGAUGAAGUAUGCCUACUCUUAGACACUCAUAUUAAAGAUAAAAAGCCUUAUUUCACCACGCUAUAUGACUAGUUUUUUAACAACAACUUCUAUCUGCGGAACUGUAGCUGUUUUAUGUUAAAAGCUUCAACGUCACUUCCCAUUUACCAAAACUCAAAGUGACUGACAUUCAUCCUCUUAUUAACAUAACAAGCAACUUUACCCAGACAUCAGAUGCAACACUACAUCAUUAAGAAUGUAAAGUGUAGAUCUACAAAUGUGUAGUUUAAAGUACUUUAUGAUACACACUUUCUUUAGGAUACACAACAAUUGUCCAAAGAAGACUUCUUAAACAAUUAUCAAAUACAGUAAUCAGUGAAAGUGGCUAAGGUUGUCUUCUCAAACUAAAAAAAAUUGUAAAAAAUGUAUGUGUUUCAUAUAAUGUUUUACUAAUACAGAAGUUCUUUUUGGCCUGUUAGGAUUUGGAAACAAAAAUUAAGGCAUUGAAAAGACAGCAACAAAAAGCUCGUAGAAAAUCAAAAAAGAUCAUUUUGGCUGUUCAGAAAAAAAAUGAAAACACUUCUGAUAGUGAACACUCCUCCAGAGAACUUGAAUCAGACUACUCAUCAGACGACUCAGGAAAUAUGCUGAAUGUUGUGGAGCAGCAUCAAAAUGAAGACUUGCAAGAACAGUAUGAUUCAGAAUCACAACAGAAUACCAUAAUUAAUAUGCAAGAUCAAGUGCUAUGGUAUGAAAUUGAUAGACUAAAUGAUUCCAUGGAUGUUACCAGUGAAAGUAACUCAGAGCUAGCUUUGUCUCUGGAGAAAAAGCUGUCUGAGUGGGCAAUAAAAUUCAACAUCUCCAUGACCUCUCUCACUCAUUUGCUUAAGAUUUUGAAGGAACAUGACAUUGAUGUUCCAGCAGACGGACGAACACUAUUGAAAACACCUCGUUCUGGCAGUUUGAGAAUAACAGAAAAAUCAGGUGGCAAAUACACAUAUUUUGGAUUAAAGGAAGGUCUUACACAUACUCUGUCUGAGCAAGACACUUCAAAAUACGACCACUUUGAGAUUUCUUUGAAUAUUGAUGGCCUACCCAUUUUCAAGUCCAAAAACCUCACAAUGUGGCCACUUCAGUGUGCUGUCAUCAACGUUGAUGAAGUGAAAAACAGUCCUUUCGUUGUUGCUCUGUUUUCUGGAGCAAAGAAACCAAGUGAUUUGGAGUUUUUGAGGGAUUUUAUGGAGGAGCUGCAAGAACUGAUGGAAACAGGCUUUAAAGGGAAGAGAAUUGUCCUCAAAAACAUCAUAUGUGAUGCACCAGCACGAGCCCUCAUCAAAGGAAUAGUUCAGUUUAAUGGCCGCUAUGGCUGUGACUUUUGUGAUGUAAAGGGAGUUCAUGAGAGCAAAAUGCUUUUUUUGUAUAAAGGAAAUCUCAGAACCAAUGAGUCAUUUAGACAGAAGACAAAUCCUGAACAUCACCUAACAGAUAGCAUUCUUUUGAAUCUGGACAUUGAUAUGAUCAGGCAGUUCCCAAUAGAUCCCAUGCAUUGUGUAGAUCUAGGAGUGACUAAGCGAAUGUUGAUGCUGUGGAAAGAAGGACCUUUGGCCCAUAGAUUAUCAGCUGGACAUCUUAGCACCAUUACUUAUUUUCAUCAAGCUGUCCGAAAUCACAUACCUCCUGAAUUCAAUAGGAAACCCAGGGGGUUAGAUGAACUGAAGCACUGGAAAGCAACUGAAUUCCGAACAUUUUUGCUUUAUACUGGACCAGUGAUUUUGAAAUAUGUUCUCGAUAAGGAGAAGUAUAUUCACUUCCUUUCACUUAGUAUUGGAAUGCGCAUCUUGUACAGUGAAAACCUAAUGGAGCAUCGUGAUUAUGCAGAUGAGCUGUUAACAUAUUUUGUUGAAAAAGGUAGCAGCCUGUAUAGCAUGAGUUUCAUCUCAUAUAAUGUGCAUUGCUUGCUACAUCUCACUGAUGUUGCAAAUUACAACAGAUCAUUACACUAUUGUUCAGCGUACAAGUUUGAGAACAAUAUGGGUCAAAUCAAGAGGUUUAUCCGCGGUUCAAGUGAUCCACUGAUUCAAGUAGCUAACAGAUUGGCAGAGAGGCAAGCAAUAUCAAGUUCUAAGAAAUCAAAUGUUACCUCUGGUAUGCCAAAGACAAAAGAAUGUUACAGAAUGACCAAUGAUAGCUACUGCCUUAUACAUGGAGUUCAAGAAAAUCUGAUUUUUUGUGAGGUUUUUUGCAGAAUGGAACCUUUGUACACUAAGCCAUGUGACUCCAGAAUAAUUGGCAUAUUCAAAGGAUUUCGGAAUCACACUAAAAUGUUACAUACUGACACCACUCAACUGAGACAUAAAGCAAUCAUGAUACCUUUGUCAUUGAUUGAUAAAGAUGAAUACAAUGCGGUAGCGCUUAUACCGCUCAUGCAUUCAGUUUGA
RNAcentral lists this long non-coding RNA (2613 nucleotides) under Carassius auratus (goldfish). Its description in RNAcentral is "lncRNA (ENSCARG00000035684.1)". The record is from RNAcentral. Lineage: Eukaryota; Metazoa; Chordata; Actinopteri; Cypriniformes; Cyprinidae.